AUUGAACGCUGGCGGCAUGCUUUACACAUGCAAGUCGAACGGCAGCGCGGGCGUCGGCCUGGCGGCGAGUGGCGAACGGGUGAGUAAUGCAUCGGAACGUGCCCAGUAGUGGGGGAUAGCCCGGCGAAAGCCGGAUUAAUACCGCAUACGACCUGAGGGUGAAAGCGGGGGACCGAAAGGCCUCGCGCUAUUGGAGCGGCCGAUGUCGGAUUAGCUAGUUGGUGGGGUAAAGGCUUACCAAGGCGACGAUCCGUAGCUGGUCUGAGAGGACGACCAGCCACACUGGGACUGAGACACGGCCCAGACUCCUACGGGAGGCAGCAGUGGGGAAUUUUGGACAAUGGGGGCAAACCUGAUCCAGCCAUGCCGCGUGCGGGAAGAAGGCCUUCGGGUUGUAAACCGCUUUUGUUCGGGAAGAAAUCCUCUGGGCUAAUACCCCGGGGGGAUGACGGUACCGGAAGAAUAAGCACCGGCUAACUACGUG
This 484-nucleotide ribosomal RNA is filed under the name uncultured bacterium. Its description in RNAcentral is "partial 16S ribosomal RNA". It matches the Rfam family "Bacterial small subunit ribosomal RNA", at positions 29 to 507 of the family's 1533-position model. The record is from RNAcentral.